RNAcentral lists this ribosomal RNA (245 nucleotides) under uncultured bacterium. RNAcentral's name for it is "partial 16S ribosomal RNA". It matches the Rfam family "Bacterial small subunit ribosomal RNA", at positions 524 to 768 of the family's 1533-position model. The record is from RNAcentral.
UACGAAGGGGGCUAGCGUUGUUCGGAUUUACUGGGCGUAAAGCGCACGUAGGCGGAUUUUUAAGUCAGGGGUGAAAUCCCGAGGCUCAACCUCGGCAUUGCCUUUGAUACUGGAAGUCUUGAGUUCGGAAGAGGUGAGUGGAAUUGUGAGUGUAGAGGUGAAAUUCGUAGAUAUUCACAAGAACACCGGUGGCGAAGGCGGCUCACUGGUCCGAAACUGACGCUGAGGUGCGAAAGCGUGGGGAG